UAAUGGUGGUGAGGGCAAUUUCUAAGCAUACCCUUAAGUCAUUCCCAACCUAGGUAAAGAUUUUCUCCUUCUUUCUGCCUGAAACUCAUAAUCUAGCUUCUCAAACA
Capsicum annuum is the source of this 107-nucleotide non-coding RNA. Lineage: Eukaryota; Viridiplantae; Streptophyta; Magnoliopsida; Solanales; Solanaceae. The record is from Rfam.